AGAGAGUUCAAGAGUACGUGAAACUGCUCAGAGGYAAACGGGUGGGCCCUCGAAAUCCUCUCGCGGGGGGAUUCAGYCGGAAGGACGGGUGCCGUCCCGCUUCGGACGCCCUGUUGGCGUCGUUGCCGGGCACGGGAGCUUCCCGGACGUCCGACGCACUUCCUCCCGCGCUCUGGACGCCGCAGCCGGUCGGGUAGCAGCGAGAGUCGGCCAUGAGGACCGCUGAGGCAGCAGGCAGGGUUCCCGUCUCGAACGGGCUUCCCUGUUCUCGGCCUGCGGAUCCGUGGCGCGACACCCGACCGAGGUGAAGGAUCCGAAGUCCCCGGAUCAGUCGGUGCCCUCGU
This 344-nucleotide ribosomal RNA is filed under the name Anansus atewa. RNAcentral describes it as "partial 28S ribosomal RNA". The record is from RNAcentral. Lineage: Eukaryota; Metazoa; Arthropoda; Arachnida; Araneae; Pholcidae.